RNAcentral lists this long non-coding RNA (682 nucleotides) under Zonotrichia albicollis (white-throated sparrow). RNAcentral describes it as "lncRNA (ENSZALG00000013672.1)". Lineage: Eukaryota; Metazoa; Chordata; Aves; Passeriformes; Passerellidae. The record is from RNAcentral.
CUCUUUUUAAUAUACAUAUGUAUGUGCUUCAUAUCCACCAAUGAUUAAACAUAUGUGCUUUGCCUUUCAGGAAAUCAAACACAUGAUAUGCAGAACUGGCUGAAUCAAGGAAACAACUACACUGACUUUAGGCAUCAACUUUGAUGUGUAAAUAUGAGGGGGUUUGGCACUUUGGAAAGAAGAGCUGUUCCUUUCUGUUUUGGUAAUCAAUGGCUUUGUUGCCCUUCAUCAGAACAAGAAGUCUUUGCUAAUUUUCAGUGAAAUAAUGAAGCAACAAUAAGAAGAAUCUUGACUGCAGCAGGUGCCCUGCCUUUGAAAGCCCUUUUCCUUCCUUUCUGGGGACUGUAAUGCACUUAUGAGUUCAGCUGUUUAUAAUGAGGGGAUUUCAAUCUGGUUUCAGCUAAUUCUAGCAGGUCACCAGAAUCAAGCUUCAACUUCUGUAAGAAAGUCUUUCAACAGCUUUUGUAAUGAAGUUUUUGUUGAGGAAGGACAAAGAUUGCCCCGAACUUUUGCAAUGUCUCUGAAGAUGCUGUGUGUGACUGGAGGGAGGAAGAGAGAAAGAGUUUUUCCCACCUUGGAAAGGACUCCAGUGUACCUGAGGGCAGAGGUUGCUGAUAGCAGGAUACAGAUCCCCUCAAUUCUUGGGUAAUUCUGAAAUCUGUGUGGCUUUGCAUGCUCAGUU